UGAAUAGAUCACCUCUUUAAAAUAAACGGAUUUAAAGGUUUUAUCAGAGUUAUUGAAACUUAGCGGAAAAUUACAGUCCCGAAUCGACUUCCGUCUAUUCUGAACCGCUACUGGAAAACCGGACACGCGAAUUUAUUGCUGGAUUUGAAUUAGAACGAUAAAGAAUAUUAACACCGGAAUCUAACUAAAUCAAAUGCACUUAUCACUAAAU
Molecule: long non-coding RNA, 211 nt
Filed under: Lathyrus oleraceus (garden pea)
Lineage: Eukaryota; Viridiplantae; Streptophyta; Magnoliopsida; Fabales; Fabaceae
Description: Pisum sativum (pea) long non-coding RNA (PSAT_LNC001667)
Source: RNAcentral